AAUGAACGUUGGCGGCGUGGAUUAGGCAUGCAAGUCGCGCGACAAGGAACCUUCGGGUUCUGGAGGAGCGGCAAACGGGGUAGUAAGGCAUCGGAACGUACCCUCUUGUUGGGAAUAGCCGCGGGAAACUGCGAGUAAUGCCCAAUAAUCCCUACGGGGCAAAGGUCCGCCGCAGGAGGAGCGGCCGAUGUGAUACCAGCUAGUUGGUGAGGUAAUGGCUCGCCAAGGCUUAGACGUCUAGGGGGUGUGAGAGCAUGGCCCCCACCCACUGGACGUGAGAUACUGCCCACGACACCUACCGGGUGGGC
RNAcentral lists this ribosomal RNA (308 nucleotides) under uncultured bacterium. RNAcentral describes it as "bacterial SSU rRNA". It matches the Rfam family "Bacterial small subunit ribosomal RNA", at positions 29 to 350 of the family's 1533-position model. The record is from RNAcentral.